GUAAGUAAAAUGUUCAUAAAUCAUUCUUAUCUUCAAACUAAAAAUGUAUUGUGCUAUGCAAAAUGUCUGUAUGAUUUCAGUUGCCAGAGGUGAGUACCAUUACAGUUGAAAAGUUAGUUUUGUUUAGUUAAAGUUUUGGUUCACAGUUCUGUUUGUUAUUUGGCAAAAUUUACAUGUAUGCAUUGAGUCUUGAUUUCAGCUCGAUUGUGGACUGAAGAAGAUUGCCAGCAGAGGGAUUGGAUACAAAAUACAAAGUAAGUACUGAGUAAUUGUUUUACUGUAUGUUACACUUAAAUGCAAAAUUGUGCACAUAAAUUGUAAGUUGUACAAACACAGUGAAAGUUUCUGAUCAUGCUUUCUAUUUCAUUUCAGCUCUACUGCUAGACGAGCAGUGACAGAAAGGCGCCUGAACAUGCAACACAAUACAAAAAUGCCAAUUUGCAAACCUUGAUGUGGACACCGAGUAGUCAAUACAUACGUGUGGGGUACAGCUGCGACAAAACCGUGGGUCCAUUGCACCGAUAACUUGAACAUUGGCCCGCGUAUGGACAUCAGUGCAACUUUGUGAAUCCAUGUAACUUUGUGAAUCCAUGUAACAUUGCGAAUAUGUGUCGAUCGAAAAAUGUGAACAUUAUGCAAUGAAACGAACUCGGUGUUGCAAGUGGCAAGUGUUGACAGUGUGUAUGUUUAUGUUUAUGUUUUUACAUGAAAAAUAAAGGAGAUUGUUCUCCUA
This is a long non-coding RNA of Dreissena polymorpha, 733 nucleotides long. RefSeq lists it as uncharacterized. The record is from RefSeq and is a predicted model, not a curated record. The transcript has 2 exons. NCBI's taxonomy places the organism in Eukaryota, Metazoa, Mollusca, Bivalvia, Myida, Dreissenidae.